Molecule: long non-coding RNA, 638 nt
Organism: Arabidopsis lyrata subsp. lyrata
Lineage: Eukaryota; Viridiplantae; Streptophyta; Magnoliopsida; Brassicales; Brassicaceae
Exons: 4
Source: RefSeq, a predicted model, not a curated record
UCAGUACUUAUAAAAAUGGUUGGAUCAGCUUCAGCAUUAUCUUUACCUUUCACUUGAUAUACUGUAUAACUAUUUAGAUAAUAUUCAGUCCAACAAAAUCGAAUGAGAAAAGAAAAAGAGAUUAAAUCCAAUAGAAAAUAGAAAAAUAAUAAAUAAAGAAAAAAAUCUACCCAAACUAUAGCAGCAUCAUCUAACUAGAAAUCGUUAGAGCAUCUCCAUCGACGGAUCCAAAUGGGUGUCUAAAAGACAAAAAGUCCAAAAAAUAAAUCAAAACUAAGUAAAAUCAAUAGAUCCGGUUACAAUUUUGGACAUUAGAUCAGAUUUAGACUCGCAUACGUGUCAAUUAUUGGUUGAGGUUUUUGGGUCAUACAUGACAGGGCUUUAUCUUCCAACUAGUGAUAUAGAUGCCAUCAUCUAAAUGAGUCUCAAUAUCAUCAAAGAACAAAGGCAACUGAGUUUAGCUAGUAUUAAGAUUAAUGAUUAAUGAUUGUCGCCGUGAUGGCCGGAGUCGGAGAAAGUAGGGAGAGACGCAGCCGCUGGAUAUACAAUGUAGCCACCACCAUCAUUGCUUGUUACAUCUCUGCUAAUAUGGUUGUUGGGCUUCUGCGCAGGCCCAUUAGUGACUGCAUCGCGGUUAC